RNAcentral lists this ribosomal RNA (2767 nucleotides) under Pseudomonadota bacterium. Its description in RNAcentral is "Proteobacteria bacterium 23S ribosomal RNA". It matches the Rfam family "Bacterial large subunit ribosomal RNA". Lineage: Bacteria; Pseudomonadati; Pseudomonadota. The record is from RNAcentral.
UCAAUUCAAGCGUUUAAUAAGAGCAUUUGGUGAAUGCCUUGGCGUAUGAAGGCGAUGAAGGACGUGAUAGGCUGCGUUAAGCUGCGGUUAGCUGCCAAUAAGCAUUGAUCCGCGGAUUUCCGAAUGGGGAAACCCACCACAUUAGUGGUAUCCUUAACUGAAUACAUAGGUUAAGGAAGCAAACCCGGGGAAGUGAAACAUCUCAGUACCCGGAGGAAAGGACAUCAACCGAGACUCCCUUAGUAGCGGCGAGCGAACGGGGACCAGGCCAGUGGUCCUACGAUAAGAACUAGAAUAGUCUGGAAAGACUAGCCAAAGUGGGUGAUAGCCCCGUAUAGGUAGAAAGUCGUAGGAUCCUCGAGUAGGGCGGGACACGUGAAAUCCUGUCUGAACAUGGGGGGACCAUCCUCCAAGCCUAAGUACUCUCAUACGACCGAUAGUGAACAAGUACCGUGAGGGAAAGGUGAAAAGAACCCCGAUAAGGGGAGUGAAACAGACCUGAAACCGAAUGCUUACAAGCAGUGGGAGCCCCCUUGAGGGGUGACCGCGUACCUUUUGUAUAAUGGGUCAGCGACUUAGUCUAUGUAGCAAGCUUAAGCCGAUAGGUGGAGGCGUAGCGAAAGCGAGUCUUAAUAGGGCGAAUAAGUUACAUGGAUUAGACCCGAAACCCGGUGAUCUAGUUAUGGGCAGGUUGAAGGUAAGGUAACACUUACUGGAGGACCGAACACGUAUCUGUUGAAAUAGAUUGUGAUGACCUGUGAUUAGGGGUGAAAGGCCAAUCAAACCGGGUAAUAGCUGGUUCUCCGCGAAAUCUAUUUAGGUAGAGCGUCGUGUGAUUACCUACGGGGGUAGAGCACUGGAUGGUUGCGGGGGGCGCGAGCCUUACCAAUACUAACCAAACUCCGAAUACCGUAGAGUACAGCACGGCAGACAGACUGUGGGUGAUAAGGUCCAUGGUCGAAAGGGAAACAGCCCAGACCGCCAGCUAAGGUCCCUAAAUCAUUGCUAAGUGUAAAAGGAAGUGAAAAGUCCAAGACAAUCAGGAGGUUGGCUUAGAAGCAGCCACCCUUUAAAGAAAGCGUAAUAGCUCACUGAUCUAAAUAUUAAGACUUCUUGCGCCGAAGAUGUACCGGGGCUCAAGCAAUGUACCGAAGCUGCGGAUUCCAUAGUUUACUAUGGUCUGGUAGCGGAGCGUUCCGUAAGCCUGUGAAGGGUAACCGCGAGGUUGCCUGGAGGUAUCGGAAGUGAGAAUGCUGACAUGAGUAGCGAUAAAAAGAGUGAGAAACUCUUUCGCCGAAAGUCCAAGGGUUCCUGCGCAAGGCUAAUCCGCGCAGGGUAAGCCGGCCCCUAAGGCGAGGCCGAAAGGCGUAGUCGAUGGGAACUAGGUUAAUAUUCCUAGGCCAGAUGGAGAGUGACGAAGGCUGUAAGUAGUAUUUCCUUAUUGGAUUGGAGAUGCUGCGAAGGACUUCCAGGAAAUAGCCCCAUCAUUAAGACCGUACCCCAAACCGACACAGGUGGACAGGUAGAGUAUACCAAGGCGCUUGAGAGAACUAUGCUGAAGGAACUCGGCAAAUUACCUCCGUAACUUCGGGAGAAGGAGGCCCAGCUAGAAGGCAACUUUUAGUUGGGGGCACAGACCAGGGGGUAGCGACUGUUUAUCAAAAACACAGGACUCUGCUAAGACGAAUAAGUCGAUGUAUAGGGUCUGACGCCUGCCCGGUGCCGGAAGGUUAAGAGGAGAGGUGCAAGCCUUGAAUUGAAGCCCCGGUAAACGGCGGCCGUAACUAUAACGGUCCUAAGGUAGCGAAAUUCCUUGUCGGGUAAGUUCCGACCUGCACGAAUGGCGUAACGACUUCCCCGCUGUCUCCAGCAUAGACUCAGCGAAAUUGAAUUCUCAGUUAAGAUGCUGAGUUCCCAUGGUUAGACGGAAAGACCCCGUGCACCUUUACUACAGCUUUACAGUGGCAUUAGAUUUGACUUGUGUAGGAUAGGCGGGAGGCUUUGAAGCAUGGACGCCAGUUCGUGUGGAGCCACCCUUGAAAUACCGCCCUUGUUAAGUCUGAUGUCUAACCGAGGUCCGUGAAACCGGAUCCGGGACCCUGUAUGGUGGGUAGUUUGACUGGGGUGGUCGCCUCCCAAAGAGUAACGGAGGCGCACAAAGGUUGGCUCAAGUUGGUCGGAAAUCAACUGUAGAGUGUAAUGGCAUAAGCCAGCCUGACUGCGAGACUGACAAGUCGAGCAGAGACGAAAGUCGGUCAUAGUGAUCCGGUGGUCCCGCAUGGAAGGGCCAUCGCUCAACGGAUAAAAGGUACGCCGGGGAUAACAGGCUGAUACCGCCCAAGCGUCCACAGCGACGGCGGUGUUUGGCACCUCGAUGUCGGCUCAUCUCAUCCUGGGGCUGGAGCAGGUCCCAAGGGUAUGGCUGUUCGCCAUUUAAAGAGGUACGUGAGCUGGGUUCAGAACGUCGUGAGACAGUUCGGUCCCUAUCUGCCAUGGGUGUUGGAAUACUGAGGAGAGCUGCCCCUAGUACGAGAGGACCGGGGUGGACGUACCACUGGUGUACCAGUUGUUCCGCCAGGAGCACCGCUGGGUAGCUAAGUACGGACAGGAUAACCGCUGAAAGCAUCUAAGCGGGAAGCCCCCUUCAAAACAAGUAUUCCCUAUCAGAGUCGUGGAAGACUACCACGUUGAUAGGCCAGGUGUGGAAGUAUGGUAACAUAUGAAGCUAACUGGUACUAAUAUCUCGAUUGGCUUGAAUUGACCGCGC